AUGAGGAGAGGCUACAGCUACAGCCCAUCCCCACCACCGAGAGGCUACAGGGGAAGGGCCCGUAGCCCAAGUCCCCGUGAUCGUUAUGAUGGUCGGGGUAGAGAUCUCCCAACCAGUCUUUUGGUCAGGAACCUUCGUCGUGACUGCAGGCCAGAUGACCUUCGCCGGCCAUUUGCACAGUUUGGUCGUCUUAAAGACGUAUAUAUUCCAAGGGAUUACUAUACUCAGGAGCCACGGGGAUUUGGGUUUGUGCAGUACUUUGAUCCCAACGAUGCGGCAGACGCAAAAUACUACAUGGAUGGACAGGUCAUUCUUGGUAGAGAAGUUGCAGUUGUUUUUGCACAGGAGAACAGAAAGAAGCCUGCUGAGAUGAGAACUAGAGAAAGUAGCAGAGGUCGGUCUUACGAUCGGCGGCACUCUCCUUCCCCAAGGGGGCGGCCAUCUUACCGCGGCCGAAGCUACUCAAGGUCUCCAUCACCUCGGCCCGCAAGGCGGAGGUUCAGAGACGAGUCUCCCUCGCGCUCCCGCUCGCCCAGCGGAUCGAGGAGUGCGAGUCCAUUGGAUGGGAAGUACGGCAGGUCCUCACGAAGAGAGAGGUCGAUUUCGGUUAGCGGAUGA
Molecule: ribosomal RNA, 618 nt
Filed under: Triticum aestivum (bread wheat)
Lineage: Eukaryota; Viridiplantae; Streptophyta; Magnoliopsida; Poales; Poaceae
Description: partial small subunit ribosomal RNA
Source: RNAcentral